RNAcentral lists this ribosomal RNA (497 nucleotides) under uncultured bacterium. RNAcentral's name for it is "partial 16S ribosomal RNA". It matches the Rfam family "Bacterial small subunit ribosomal RNA", at positions 28 to 507 of the family's 1533-position model. The record is from RNAcentral.
GAUGAACGCUGGCGGCGUGCCUAAUACAUGCAAGUCGAGCGAACAGACGAGGAGCUUGCUCCUCUGACGUUAGCGGCGGACGGGUGAGUAACACGUGGAUAACCUACCUUUAAGACUGGGAUAACUUCGGGAAACCGUAGCUAAUACCGGAUAAUAUAUUGAACCGCAUGGUUCAAUAGUGAAAGACGGUUUUGCUGUCACUUAUAGAUGGAUCCGCGCGGCUUUAGCUAGUUGGUAAGGUAACGGCUUACCAAGGCAGGGUUCCGUAGCCGACGUGAUAGGGUGACUGGCAAACUUGGAACGGAGAAACGGACAAGACUCCUAGGGGAGGAAGAAGAAGGGAAUGUUCGGAAAAGGGGGAAAGCUUAACGGAGAAAGGCGGGGUGAGUGAUGAGGGUAUUGGGAUCGUAAAACUGUGUUAAAAGGAAAGAAGAAAUGUGUAAGUAAAAAUGCACGUAGUGACGGUAGCUAAUCAGAAAGCCACGGCUAACUACGUG